GACGAACCGUGCGAACGUUAUUCGGAAUCACUGGGCUUAAAGGGCGCGUAGGCGGGUUCUCAAGUCAGGGGUGAAAUCCCGCGGCUCAACCGUGGAAGUGCCUUUGAUACUGGGGACCUCGAGGGAGGUAGGGGCGUGCGGAACUUCCGGUGGAGCGGUGAAAUGCGUAGAUAUCGGAAGGAACACCGGUGGCGAAAGCGGCGCGCUGGACCUCUUCUGACGCUGAGGCGCGAAAGCCAGGGGAGCGAACGGG
Molecule: ribosomal RNA, 253 nt
Filed under: uncultured bacterium
Lineage: Bacteria
Description: partial 16S ribosomal RNA
Rfam family: Bacterial small subunit ribosomal RNA
Source: RNAcentral